CCGGCAGGUACUGAGGAGGACAUUAUCGAGUUUUUGAAAGGAGCUGUAGCUGGCCUUUAGCGAGGCAUAUUUGUGCACGCUCCGUUUCAAUCCACUCUACACCUGUGCACUUUCUGUAGGUCUUGGAGCGGGAAGCGGGGCCCUUUUUUGGGUCUCUGCCUAACGUUUUGGGCCUGCGUUUGUUUUACAAAACCUUACAAGUAUCAGAGCGUGUUGUUGCGAUGUAACGCAUCCAAAUACAACUUUCAGCAACGGAUCUCUUGGCUCUCGCAUCGAUGAAGAACGCAGCGAAAUGCGAUAAGUAAUGUGAAUUGCAGAAUUCAGUGAAUCAUCGAAUCUUUGAACGCACCUUGCGCUCCUUGGUAUUCCGAGGAGCAUGCCUGUUUGAGUGUCAUGAAAUUCUCAACUUACAAGCCUUUGCGGGCCAUGUAAGAUUGGAUUUGGAGGCUUUGUCGGCGGUUUCAUGCAGUCGGCUCCUCUUAAAAGCAUUAGCUCGGUUCCUUGCGGAUUCGGCUCUCAGUGUGAUAAUUGUCUACGCUGUGGCCGUUGAAGCGUUUUACAGCAGAGCUUCUAAAUCGUCUGUCUCCCUUUGCUGGGACGACGACAUCUUUUUUGACCUCUGACCUCAAAUCAGGUAGGACUACCCGCUGAACUUAAGCUUAA
RNAcentral lists this ribosomal RNA (663 nucleotides) under Haploporus alabamae. RNAcentral describes it as "eukaryotic LSU rRNA". The stretch from base 241 to 394 matches the Rfam family "5.8S ribosomal RNA". Lineage: Eukaryota; Fungi; Basidiomycota; Agaricomycetes; Polyporales; Polyporaceae. The record is from RNAcentral.